This 253-nucleotide ribosomal RNA is filed under the name uncultured bacterium. RNAcentral describes it as "partial 16S ribosomal RNA". It matches the Rfam family "Bacterial small subunit ribosomal RNA", at positions 524 to 776 of the family's 1533-position model. The record is from RNAcentral.
UACGGAGAGUGCAAGCAUUAAUCGGAAUUAUUGGGCGUAAAGGGCGCGUAGGCGGGGAUGUAAGUCAGAUGUGAAAUUCCGAAGCUCAACUUCGGAGCUGCAUUUGAAACUGUGUUUCUAGAGGAUUGACGGAGAAAAUGGAAUUCCACGUGUAGCGGUGAAAUGCGUAGAUAUGUGGAAGAACACCUGUGGCGAAAGCGGUUUUCUAGUUAAUACCUGACGCUGAGGCGCGAGAGCAAGGGGAGCAAACAGG